AUUUGCAUUUAGUUAAUGUUUAGAUGAUAUCAGACAUCUUUUAUUUUGUUUAUUGGCCAUUUGUCUGUCUUUGGAAAACAGUUUAUUUUGGUCUGUUAUCCACUUUGCAGGUUGGUUGUUACUAUUGAACUGUAAGAGUUCUUUAUGAAUUCUGAAUACUAGACUCAUGUUAGUAUAUGUCUUAGAAGUAUUUUUUUCUUAAAAUUACAGGUUAGCAAGGAAACAGAUGUAGUGUAGUGAAAGCUAAGCAUGUCUUUAGGCGUGAUGGGUACAAGCAGUGGGAUAUACAGUGAGAUGGGAAUUGUCAGUAAAGGAUUGCUUAAUUAUUUUUUCUGUGAAUUAGUAAAAUGAUGAGCUACUUUAUAACAUUUUAUAACAUACAGGUACAUAUUGCUAUCUUAAUCUGCUAAAUUCCUUCCUUUUUUUUAACCAGUGAUUUAUUUAUUUUUAUUUUAUGUGCAUUGGUGGUUUGCUUGCAUGUGUGUCUGUAUGAGAGUAUUGGAUUUUCUGGAACUGGAGUUACAGGGAGUUGUGAGCUGCCAUGGAAGUUCUAGAAAUGUCCCACUGUCCUUUGGAAGAUCAGCCCAUGCCCUUAACUGCUAAUCUCUCCACCCCUGACUUUCUGCCUUUUAAACGUUAAAACACCAUAGACAAUAAUGGUAUGCCAUGUUACUCAAUCACAUUACUCAAAAUUGUUUUAUUCUUGAAUUUUGGAUAGAAAACUGUUGUCAUAAAAUUUUGUCUUAACUAUAUUCUAUUUUUGUUUGAAUAGUGAGAAAAUUCUAUAUUACUUUUUUCUUCUUUUCUUUCCUCUUCUUCUUCUUCUUCUUCUCUUCUCUUCUCUUCUCUUCUCUUCUCUUCUCUUCUCUUCUCUUCUCUUCUUUUCUUUUUUAAAUAGGGUUUCACUGUGAGCUCUGGUUGGCCUGGAUCUCAUAGAGCUCAAACUUCUGCCUACUUCCCUAAUACAAGGAUUAAAGAUUUGUACUACUAGGCCUGGCUCAUGCUUUAAAAUUUUAAGAUUUUUUUUUUUAAUUUUUAUUUUAUGAAACCAGAAACCUGACUAUUUAAUUAGCUUAUGGGAAAUUAUGAAUAUUUUUCCCCCGCUAAACUGUUCUUAAAGGAUUUUAAAUUUUGUUAUAGCUUAGUUUCUCUGAUUAGAAAGAAAUUUAUUUACUUUCAUUGUAUGGGUAUAGGUGUUUUACCUGCAUAUAUGACUGCAUCAUGUAUGUACAGUGCCCAUGAAAAGGAGAAGAGGGUGUCAAGAGGGUACUUGGAAUCGCAGCCAGUGUUCUCAACCACUGAGCUAUCUCUUCAGCGCCUCGUUUCUCUCAUGUUUUAAUUAGGUAGGUUUGCUGUGCUACGAAGUGCCAGGGGAAAUGAUGUUCUGUUGUGCUACACAUACAUAGUGAGACCUUGACUCAUGUAUAUAACACAGCAGUUUUUGAGCUCCUAGCAGUCUUCCUGUCUUACCCCAUGAAGUGCUGGGAUUUUAGUAGGGACCAUCAGCCCACAUGUUCAGCUCAUUGUGAGUCCUUAAAGGUAGGAUGGAGCAUUGGAUGAGGUAUGCAGCAGAGUUAACAAUCCAGAUGCUACGAAGUGCCAGGGGAAAUGAUGUUCUGUUGUGCUACACAUACAUAGUGAGACCUUGACUCAUGUAUAUAACACAGCAGUUUUUGAGCUCCUAGCAGUCUUCCUGUCUUACCCCAUGAAGUGCUGGGAUUUUAGUAGGGACCAUCAGCCCACAUGUUCAGCUCAUUGUGAGUCCUUAAAGGUAGGAUGGAGCAUUGGAUGAGGUAUGCAGCAGAGUUAACAAUCCAGAGCCUUUGCUUAAUGGAUUGUGAGAAACAAGUUAGAAAAGCUAAACAGUAGUCAUUGACAGCUAGCUUCUAAUGAUUUUUGUCUUGUUUUUAUUUUGUUUUACAUUUUAUCUAUUUUGUUGAAGAGUUACUUGAGUAGAUUAAUCAUUUUUUCUGAAAUAGAAGCCAGCAAAAUUACAGGCAUAAAAUUAGUAUUAUUUUUACGUACUUCUUAUGAAUUUGUGUAUGAAAUCAUUGUAAAAUUCUUAAAAUUCAGAGUAACACAAAGAGCCAUUUUUGUGUAAUGUGCAUUUUUUAAUUGUAGGAGCAGAUAGGUCAAAGGGAUUGUUAAAAGGAAUGGAUAUAACCAGUGUGCUUAGAUUGACAUUUAAAAAAAAAGAUUUAUUUUUUAUUAUAUGUAAGUACACCAUAGCUAACUUCAGACACACCAGAAGAGGGGAUCAGAUCUCAUUACGGGGUCGUUGUGAGCCACCAUGUGGUUGCUGGGAUUUGAACUCAGCACCUUCGUAAGAGCAGUCAGUGCUUUUACCCGGUGAGCCAUCUUGCCAGCCCCUAGAUUGACAUUUUAAAUUUUGGUGAUGGUAAACCAGAAAUUAAUAGUGCAAUUGUCUUUAAUCCCAGCACUUGGGAGGCAGAGGCAGGCGGAUUUCUAUUUCGAGGCCAGCCUGGUCUACAGAGUGAGUUCCAGGACAGCCAGGUCUGGGCUAUACAGAGAAACUCUGUCUUGAAAAACCAAAAAACCAAAACCAAACCAAAACAAAAACCCUAAAAAAUUACCUGUUACCUGCUUGGAACAAUGUUUUGUUCGGUGGUGUGGUUAAGAGUUAAGAGUUGCUCUUCAGAGAGCCUGGGCUUGGUUCCCAGUGCCCACAUGGUGGCUCACAACCACUUGUAACUUUGUUCCAGGGAAAUCUGAUGACCUCUUCUGAUUUCUGAGAUUGCCAGGUCAUGAGGCCAGGCAUUCUCAUAUGCAUAAAAGUAAAUAAAUUAUCCUUUUAAAAAUGAUUAGUUAGGAGGCUGGAGAGAUAGCUCAGGGGUUAACUGGCAAGGUGUGGUGGUGCACAUCUUUAAUCUCAGCACUCUGGGGGCAGAGAUAGGCAGCAUGAGUUGAGGCCAGCCUAGUCUACAUAGUGAGAUUCUGCCUCAAACC
This 2967-nucleotide long non-coding RNA is filed under the name Mus musculus (house mouse). RNAcentral's name for it is "long non-coding RNA chr19:41488043-41491010". The record is from RNAcentral. Lineage: Eukaryota; Metazoa; Chordata; Mammalia; Rodentia; Muridae.